AACAGCUCAAAAUUAUCCUGGACGUUCUUUCUUCAAGCACUUUGUCCAAGAAUCCUGUCUCCCUUUGCAGCAGAGAACCUACCAGUGCUGUCUCCUACCAGAAGUCAAAGUGAGGUGUAUAAGGCCUGAGCUUAAAGAGUUGUGAGAGGAGCACCUGAGUGUCAUUGGUCGGAAUAAUCCUCCACGCGUCUGGAAGCAGCGAGAACACCGAGCCGCCGGAGAGCAGGCCAAGGCUGGUCGCCCUCCGUGAUGGGCAGCAGCGGAAAACCUUCAGCAGAAAGCGAAGAGUGAGGACAAACGUAGAGUCUUUCAAGCGAUCCUCAUCGUUCCAGUCUGUCUUCAGGAUUCUUGGGACUGGUUUCUAACCAGAUGACACAUCUGCCAGUAUAUCCAUUUCCCAGCAUAGACUUUGGCCAUUAAUUUGCAAA
This 428-nucleotide long non-coding RNA is filed under the name Struthio camelus australis. Its description in RNAcentral is "lncRNA (ENSSCUG00000002656.1)". The record is from RNAcentral. Lineage: Eukaryota; Metazoa; Chordata; Aves; Struthioniformes; Struthionidae.